This 105-nucleotide ribosomal RNA is filed under the name Caerostris darwini. The record is from RNAcentral. Lineage: Eukaryota; Metazoa; Arthropoda; Arachnida; Araneae; Araneidae.
AACGGCCAUACCAUGCUGAAUAUACCGGUUCUCGUUAGAUCACCGAAGUCAAGCAUCAUUGGGCGCGGUCAGUACUUGGGUGGGUGACCACCUGGGAACACCGCG